RNAcentral lists this ribosomal RNA (721 nucleotides) under Nocardia sp. RNAcentral's name for it is "bacterial SSU rRNA". It matches the Rfam family "Bacterial small subunit ribosomal RNA", at positions 88 to 823 of the family's 1533-position model. The record is from RNAcentral. Lineage: Bacteria; Bacillati; Actinomycetota; Actinomycetes; Mycobacteriales; Nocardiaceae.
UACACGAGCGGCGAACGGGUGAGUAACACGUGGGUGAUCUGCCUCGCACUUCGGGAUAAGCCUGGGAAACUGGGUCUAAUACCGGAUAUGACCUUUCAGUGCAUGCUGUUGGGUGGAAAGAUUUAUCGGUGCGAGAUGGGCCCGCGGCCUAUCAGCUUGUUGGCGGGGUAACGGCCCACCAAGGCGACGACGGGUAGCCGACCUGAGAGGGUGACCGGCCACACUGGGACUGAGACACGGCCCAGACUCCUACGGGAGGCAGCAGUGGGGAAUAUUGCACAAUGGGCGAAAGCCUGAUGCAGCGACGCCGCGUGAGGGAUGACGGCCUUCGGGUUGUAAACCUCUUUCGACAGGGACGAAGCGCAAGUGACGGUACCUGUAGAAGAAGCACCGGCCAACUACGUGCCAGCAGCCGCGGUAAUACGUAGGGUGCGAGCGUUGUCCGGAAUUACUGGGCGUAAAGAGCUUGUAGGCGGUUUGUCGCGUCGUCCGUGAAAACUUGGGGCUCAACCCCAAGCUUGCGGGCGAUACGGGCAGACUUGAGUACUUCAGGGGAGACUGGAAUUCCUGGUGUAGCGGUGAAAUGCGCAGAUAUCAGGAGGAACACCGGUGGCGAAGGCGGGUCUCUGGGAAGUAACUGACGCUGAGAAGCGAAAGCGUGGGUAGCGAACAGGAUUAGAUACCCUGGUAGUCCACGCCGUAAACGGUGGGUACUAGGUGU